GCCACAUCCUCUUUCAAAAGUCCUUUCGAUUGAGCCACUAGAUUAUCAUUGUAGAUAGGACUCUUUACGGGUAAAGUAGCUUGUUGUGAAGGUCCCAAACAAUGAAGCCAACUACGUGGUUCAUUCACUAGGCCUACCUGCGGUUGAGGGACCUUCAAUGCAGAGCUUACUGGAAAGGUUCCAUUCUUCAUAACCAUAUUGUUGCUGAUACUUGAAGCAACGAGAUUAGGUCGGCCCAGAUUCGGUGCAGCACUGAAAGAAUUUAACAGCGAUGGUUCCCAAUCAAAAAGAAGCCUAGGAGGACGUCCUGCUUCCCAAGCUUCUCCCAUCCAAUCAAAACAAUUUACC
This 348-nucleotide long non-coding RNA is filed under the name Cucumis sativus (cucumber). Its description in RNAcentral is "long non-coding RNA (CSAT_LNC000741)". The record is from RNAcentral. Lineage: Eukaryota; Viridiplantae; Streptophyta; Magnoliopsida; Cucurbitales; Cucurbitaceae.